RNAcentral lists this ribosomal RNA (265 nucleotides) under uncultured bacterium. RNAcentral's name for it is "partial 16S ribosomal RNA". It matches the Rfam family "Bacterial small subunit ribosomal RNA", at positions 91 to 354 of the family's 1533-position model. The record is from RNAcentral.
CGGACCGGCGCACGGGUGAGUAACGCGUAUGCAACUUACCUAUCAGGAGGGGGAUAACCCGGCGAAAGUCGGACUAAUACCGCAUGAAGCAGGGGCCCCGCAUGGGGAUAUUUGCUAAAGAUUCAUCGCUGAUAGAUAGGCAUGCGUUCCAUUAGGCAGUUGGCGGGGUAACGGCCCACCAAACCGACGAUGGAUAGGGGUUCUGAGAGGAAGGUCCCCCACAUUGGUACUGAGACACGGACCAAACUCCUACGGGAGGCAGCAG